Molecule: ribosomal RNA, 429 nt
Filed under: Actinomycetes bacterium
Lineage: Bacteria; Bacillati; Actinomycetota; Actinomycetes
Description: Actinobacteria bacterium partial 16S ribosomal RNA
Rfam family: Bacterial small subunit ribosomal RNA
Source: RNAcentral
UAGGGGAUCUUCCGCAAUGGGCGAAAGCCUGACGGAGCAACGCCGCGUGAGUGAUGAAGGUCUUCGGAUCGUAAAACUCUGUUAUUAGGGAAGAACAAAUGUGUAAGUAACUAUGCACGUCUUGACGGUACCUAAUCAGAAAGCCACGGCUAACUACGUGCCAGCAGCCGCGGUAAUACGUAGGUGGCAAGCGUUAUCCGGAAUUAUUGGGCGUAAAGCGCGCGUAGGCGGUUUUUUAAGUCUGAUGUGAAAGCCCACGGCUCAACCGUGGAGGGUCAUUGGAAACUGGAAAACUUGAGUGCAGAAGAGGAAAGUGGAAUUCCAUGUGUAGCGGUGAAAUGCGCAGAGAUAUGGAGGAACACCAGUGGCGAAGGCGACUUUCUGGUCUGUAACUGACGCUGAUGUGUGAAAGCGUGGGGAUCAAACAGG